Molecule: ribosomal RNA, 469 nt
Filed under: uncultured bacterium
Lineage: Bacteria
Description: partial 16S ribosomal RNA
Rfam family: Bacterial small subunit ribosomal RNA
Source: RNAcentral
GACGAACGCUGGCGGCGUGCUUAACACAUGCAAGUCGAACGGAAAGGCCCUGCUUGCCGGGUGCUCGAGUGGCGAACGGGUGAGUAACACGUGGGUGAUCUGCCCCUUACUUUGGGAUAAGCCUGGGAAACUGGGUCUAAUACUGGAUAGGACCGUGCUGUAGGUGGUGUGGUGGAAAGAUUAGUUUCGGUAAGGGAUGAGCUCGCGGCCUAUCAGCUUGUUGGUGGGGUAAUGGCCUACCAAGGCGUCGACGGGUAGCCGGCCUGAGAGGGUGGACGGCCACAUUGGGACUGAGAUACGGCCCAGACUCCUACGGGAGGCAGCAGUGGGGAAUAUUGCACAAUGGGCGCAAGCCUGAUGCAGCGACGCCGCGUGGGGGAUGACGGCCUUCGGGUUGUAAACUCCUUUCAGCCAUGACGAAGCCCUUGUGGUGACGGUAGUGGUAGAAGAAGCACCGGCUAACUACGUG